RNAcentral lists this ribosomal RNA (347 nucleotides) under uncultured bacterium. RNAcentral's name for it is "partial 16S ribosomal RNA". It matches the Rfam family "Bacterial small subunit ribosomal RNA", at positions 338 to 682 of the family's 1533-position model. The record is from RNAcentral.
CCUACGGGGAGCAGCAGUGAGGAAUAUUGGUCAAUGGACGCAAGUCUGAACCAGCCAUGCCGCGUGCAGGAAGACGGCUCUAUGAGUUGUAAACUGCUUUUGUACGAGGGUAAACGCAGAUACGUGUAUCUGUCUGAAAGUAUCGUACGAAUAAGGAUCGGCUAACUCCGUGCCAGUAGCCGCGGUAAUACGGAGGAUUCAAGCGUUAUCCGGAUUUAGUGGGGUUAAAGGGUGCGUAGGCGGUCGGAUAAGUUAGAGGUGAAAUCCCGUGUCUCAACUUCGGAAUUGCCUCUGAUACGUUUCGGCUAGAGCGUAUUUGCGUUAGGCGGCAUGUCUGUUGUAGCGGU